AUGCUUGCUUCAGCAGCAUGUAUACUAAACCUGGAACAAUACAGAGAAGAUUAGCAUGGCCCCUGUGCAAGGAUGACAUGCAAAUUCAUGAAGUGUUCCAUAUUUUU
Trichosurus vulpecula (common brushtail) is the source of this 107-nucleotide small nuclear RNA. NCBI's taxonomy places the organism in Eukaryota, Metazoa, Chordata, Mammalia, Diprotodontia, Phalangeridae. The record is from RefSeq and is a predicted model, not a curated record.